RNAcentral lists this ribosomal RNA (468 nucleotides) under uncultured bacterium. Its description in RNAcentral is "partial 16S ribosomal RNA". It matches the Rfam family "Bacterial small subunit ribosomal RNA", at positions 28 to 507 of the family's 1533-position model. The record is from RNAcentral.
GACGAACGCUGGCGGCGUGCUUAACACAUGCAAGUCGAACGGAAAGGCCCUGCUUUUGUGGGGUGCUCGAGUGGCGAACGGGUGAGUAACACGUGAGUAACCUGCCCUUGACUUUGGGAUAACUUCAGGAAACUGGGGCUAAUACCGGAUAGGAGCUCCUGCUGCACGGUGGGGGUUGGAAAGUUUCGGCGGUUGGGGAUGGACUCGCGGCUUAUCAGCUUGUUGGUGGGGUAGUGGCUUACCAAGGCUUUGACGGGUAGCCGGCCUGAGAGGGUGACCGGCCACAUUGGUACUGAGAUACGGCCCAGACUCCUACGGGAGGCAGCAGUGGGGAAUAUUGCACAAUGGGCGGAAGCCUGAUGCAGCAACGCCGCGUGCGGGAUGACGGCCUUCGGGUUGUAAACCGCUUUCGCCUGUGACGAAGCGUGAGUGACGGUAAUGGGUAAAGAAGCACCGGCUAACUACGUG